Molecule: long non-coding RNA, 781 nt
Organism: Aegilops tauschii subsp. strangulata
Lineage: Eukaryota; Viridiplantae; Streptophyta; Magnoliopsida; Poales; Poaceae
Source: RefSeq, a predicted model, not a curated record
UCUCUCUCCUUAUCCGUUCACAAGCACACCUAGCCAUCGAAGCCGCCGCAUGCCACGACGCAAAUCACCGCCGCUAGCCUGAGGGCCUCAUGCCGCCGCCGCUCGCCCUUUCUCUGUAGGUUGCCGACGCAUCCUUGGGGCCCGGGGCCGUUCCCACCUCCCCACCAGGCUCGAGGAGGCCCGAGGAGGCGGCCAUCAGGAGCGCGCAGCGGAGUCAUGGGCAGAUCCAGCCGGGGCCGUCGGCAGCCGUCCCUCCCUCCGAGCGGCCAAGAGGCUUGAGCAGAACGAGCGCAUGGACCGUGCGCACCUCACGCGCUAGGAGCCACCGGUCCUCGUCAUCUGCAAGCAUCCACGAGGAAUCGAUCCAUAUAAUGUUUGAGGGGAGCUCGGUUACUGUCAACGCCUCAAGGGUUUAUGCAUAUCAGUUGCAUGUUGCUUAAAGUCACUGUAAUGAUGACUACUGUUUCCAGAUUCAAAAGAAGGAUAAUUAAGUUGCAGCUAAAUUCUCGGAUGGAUGAAGAAGCAAAUAAAGUUAGAAGAUUUUACUUAGCACAAGAUCUUUACAUUGACAGAUUGAAAAAUUGUAAUACUAUUCACAAGAUCUUUUUCUUUGGUUGAAUUGAUGUAAAUGCUAUGGUGUAAUAUUCUUCAUAGAUGUGUUCUCUGUAGUCAAAGUGAUAUGAAUGAUAUGUUUGCACCAAUAAGAUUGGUAUGUAUUUAUUGUAAUACAUAUGUAUCCCGCACUCUUGUAUAUUCAUAAUAAAUACCUUGAUAUUUUCAA